AUUGAACGCUGGCGGCAUGCUUUACACAUGCAAGUCGGACGGCAGCGGGGGUGCUUGCACCUGCCGGCGAGUGGCGAACGGGUGAGUAACAUAUUGGAAUGUACCGAGUAGUGGGGGAUAACCAAUCGAAAGAUUGGCUAAUACCGCAUACGUCCUGAGGGGGAAAGCAGGGGAUCUUCGGACCUUGCGCUAUUUGAGCAGCCAAUAUCUGAUUAGCUAGUUGGUGGGGUAAAGGCCCACCAAGGCGACGAUCAGUAGCGGGUCUGAGAGGAUGAUCCGCCACACUGGGACUGAGACACGGCCCAGACUCCUACGGGAGGCAGCAGUGGGGAAUUUUGGACAAUGGGGGCAACCCUGAUCCAGCCAUGCCGCGUGUCUGAAGAAGGCCUUCGGGUUGUAAAGGACUUUUGUUAGGGAAGAAAAGAGAAGUGUUAAUACCAC
This 441-nucleotide ribosomal RNA is filed under the name Kingella denitrificans. RNAcentral's name for it is "bacterial SSU rRNA". It matches the Rfam family "Bacterial small subunit ribosomal RNA", at positions 30 to 469 of the family's 1533-position model. The record is from RNAcentral. Lineage: Bacteria; Pseudomonadati; Pseudomonadota; Betaproteobacteria; Neisseriales; Neisseriaceae.